This 1763-nucleotide ribosomal RNA is filed under the name Sarcophaga peregrina. RNAcentral describes it as "eukaryotic LSU rRNA". It matches the Rfam family "Eukaryotic large subunit ribosomal RNA", at positions 1592 to 3401 of the family's 3401-position model. Lineage: Eukaryota; Metazoa; Arthropoda; Insecta; Diptera; Sarcophagidae. The record is from RNAcentral.
GAACGAAAGGGAAUACGGUUCCAAUUCCGUAACCUGUUGAGUAUCCGUUUGUUAAUAAAUAUGGGCCUUGUGCUCAUCCUGGCAACAGGAACGACCAUAAAGAAGCCGUCGAGAGAUAUCGGAAGAGUUUUCUUUUCUGUUUUAUAGUCGUACUACCAUGGAAGUCUUUCGAAGAGAGAUAUGGUAGAUGGGCUAGAAGAGCAUGACAUUUACUGUUGUGUCGAUAUUUUCUCCUCGGACCUUGAAAAUUUAUGGUGGGGUCACGCAAACUUCUCAACAGGCCGUACCAAUAUCCGCAGCUGGUCUCCAAGGUGAAGAGUCUCUAGUCGAUAGAAUAAUGUAGGUAAGGGAAGUCGGCAAAUUAGAUCCGUAACUUCGGGAUAAGGAUUGGCUCUGAAGAUUGAGAUAGUCGGGCUUGAUUGGGAAGCAAUAACAUGGUUUAUGUACUCGUUCUGGGUAAAUAGAGAUUUUCGGAUCUUGUUCCUCGGAUAGUAGUUACGUAGCCAAUUGUGGAACUUUCUUGCUAAAAUUUUUAGGGAAUUAUCGCAAGAUAUAUUCCUUUUAAAUUAUAACGACUAUCAAUUAACAAUCAAUUCAGAACUGGCACGGACUUGGGGAAUCCGACUGUCUAAUUAAAACAAAGCAUUGUGAUGGCCCUAACGGGUGUUGACACAAUGUGAUUUCUGCCCAGUGCUCUGAAUGUCAAAGUGAAGAAAUUCAAGUAAGCGCGGGUAAACGGCGGGAGUAACUAUGACUCUCUUAAGGUAGCCAAAUGCCUCGUCAUCUAAUUAGUGACGCGCAUGAAUGGAUUAACGAGAUUCCUACUGUCCCUAUCUACUAUCUAGCGAAACCACAGCCAAGGGAACGGGCUUGGAAUAAUUAGCGGGGAAAGAAGACCCUGUUGAGCUUGACUCUAAUCUGGCAGUGUAAGGAGACAUAAGAGGUGUAGCAUAAGUGGGAGAUACUGGUCUUUCGGGGCCUUUGUCACCAAUGAAAUACCACUACUCUUAUUGUUUCCUUACUUACUUGAUUAAGUGGAACGUGUAUCAUUUCUUAGCCAUUAUACGGAUAUAUUUAUAUAUCUUAUGGUAUUGGGUUAUGAUGCAAGCUUCUUGAUCAAAGUACUAAGAGUUUGUUAUAUAAUUGUAAACAAAUUUUAAUGAGAUGAUGGCAUUUCGGUGCUAUGUCAAUAUUUGAAAUUUGGUAUAACUCCAAUACUCAGGUAUGAUCCAAUUCAAGGACAUUGCCAGGUAGGGAGUUUGACUGGGGCGGUACAUCUCUCAAAUAAUAACGGAGGUGUCCCAAGGCCAGCUCAGUGCGGACAGAAACCAACAUAGAGCAAAAGGGCAAAUGCUGACUUGAUCUCGGUGUUCAGUACACACAGGGACAGCAAAAGCUCGGCCUAUCGAUCCUUUUGGUUUAAGGAGUUUUUAACAAGAGGUGUCAGAAAAGUUACCACAGGGAUAACUGGCUUUGGCGGCCAAGCGUCAUAGCACGUCGCUUUUGAUCCUUCGAUGUCGGCUCUUCCUAUCAUUGUGAAGCAAAAUUCACCAAGGUUGGAUUGUUCACCCAUCAAGGUAAACGUGUUGUAUUGUUGAAGUCUUUGUCCUCUGGCCUCUUGUUGGUCACUGGUCCCUUCUGCUUGAACUCCUGCCCAUUGCGUCGCGUUUCCCAACGCUUUGUCAUUGGCACCUCCACCCGCGUCAACUUGGGCGAUUACAAAGUACCCGAACACUUGGAUGAUGCUUACUUCCGCCGUUUGA